AUGUCCAGACUAAGCCAUGCACGUCUAGUACAAACUAAAUGAUGGUGAAACUGCAAAUGGCUCAUUACAACGGUUAUGAUGUACCCGGGAGUUCCGAUGGAUAUUUCCAGUAACACUAGAACUAAUACAUGUCCCUGCGUUUAUUAGUUUCGCACAGUCCGUCGCUGAGUCAUGGUAAACAGUUGAUCGACUCGACGUCCCGGAACAGUUUCCGCCCCAUCAGCUUCGAUGGUUGGGUAUUGGCCUACCAUUGCAACAACGGGUAACGAGGAAUUAGGGUUUGAUUUCGGAGAGGGAGCCUGAGAAACGGCUACCACAUCUACGGAUGGCAGCAGGCGCGCAAAUUACCCAAUGCAGACACUGUGAGGUAGUGACGAGAAAUAAUAAAGCGGGACUUCUGUUUCGCUAUUAUAAUGAGGAAUAACCAAAGGUCAUUCCGAUUAGCAACUGAUGGGAAAGUCUGGUGCCAGCAGCCGCGGUAAUACCAGCGUCAGUAGCAU
This 500-nucleotide ribosomal RNA is filed under the name uncultured Myrionecta. RNAcentral describes it as "SSU rRNA". It matches the Rfam family "Eukaryotic small subunit ribosomal RNA", at positions 34 to 600 of the family's 1831-position model. The record is from RNAcentral. Lineage: Eukaryota; Ciliophora; Litostomatea; Cyclotrichida; Mesodiniidae.